This 83-nucleotide transfer RNA is filed under the name Felis catus (domestic cat). It matches the Rfam family "tRNA". From Rfam's summary of the family: Transfer RNA (tRNA) molecules are approximately 80 nucleotides in length. The record is from Rfam by way of RNAcentral. Lineage: Eukaryota; Metazoa; Chordata; Mammalia; Carnivora; Felidae.
GCUCAGUUGGUUAAGCGUCUGACUCUUGAUUUUGGCUCAGGUCACAAUCUCAUGGUGUGUGGGAUUGAACCCCACACUGCGCU